Molecule: ribosomal RNA, 473 nt
Filed under: uncultured bacterium
Lineage: Bacteria
Description: bacterial SSU rRNA
Rfam family: Bacterial small subunit ribosomal RNA
Source: RNAcentral
GACGAACGCUGGCGGCGUGCCUAACACAUGCAAGUCAACUUGACUGAAGGAGCAAUCUGACAGUAGAGUGGCGCAAGGGUGCGUAACGCGUAAGUAACUUGCCCCAAGGUAAGGAAUAACGUCGAGAAAUCGGCGCUAAUACCUCAUAAUGCAGCGGAUCCGCAUGGAUAUGUUGUUAAAGGUUUGCCGCCUUGGGAUAGGCUUGCGUCUGAUUAGUUAGUUGGUGUGGUAACGGCACACCAAGGCUACGAUCAGUAACUGGUCUGAGAGGAUGAUCAGUCACACUGGAACUGAGACACGGUCCAGACUCCUACGGGAGGCAGCAGUGAGGAAUAUUGGGCAAUGCUCGAAAGAGUGACCCAGCAACGCCGCGUGGAGGAUGAAGGUAUUCUAUAUCGUAAACUCCUGUGAGAGCAGACGAAAGACAGAUUAUAAUCUGGAUGACUGUAUGCUCAGAGGAAGCCCCGGCUAAC